UAAACGUACGUACAAACUCUCUCCUUCCUUAGCUCUCCCCCACACGACACAACUUCCUCUCUUCUCUUUUCAUUAAUUUUGUGCUCUUUCUUUCAGACUCAAAGCACCAUCAAAAUUCAUCUGCGCAUGAAGUAGAGAAAAGUUAUAUCAUUCUCGGUCGUCAAUGGCUCAUUUUCUCUCAAGCUCCAGGUUGGCAAUACACUUGAGAGAGAGCUUGAUCAAUUCUAGAGUGUGCAAGUAUGUUGUUUUUACUUUGCUUCAUGUUAAUAUUACAUAAGUGACAUCACUUGAAUGAUGCAAGCAUGUUUGGUACAAAGGCAUUUCCCAUAAAGUGACUGCUCCACUGUUUGCACUAUUGGGUGUGUGCAGAGGAACAGUUGCAGUCACUUUACAGCUGUGGGGAGUUGACUGGUACUGUGAGCAAGGGAAUUGAUAUCGAUCUAUUCUCUCUAAUAUUUCUUGGACUCUGAAUGUUGGAACAUGUCCCAAACUUGAGACUUGUUGAUCUUUGAGCACUCAGAGAAUGUGGAACAGGUUCCUCAUCUGGUUCUCAACAAAGUUCUUAAAUCAUCAAAAUAUAGCAAGACACAUAACUUAUCAAUUUACCCAUUUUUGAUAAUGACAAACUUGUAAUUGAAAUUCUCUCUCA
Non-coding RNA from Nicotiana tabacum (common tobacco), 649 nucleotides. The record is from RefSeq and is a predicted model, not a curated record. NCBI's taxonomy places the organism in Eukaryota, Viridiplantae, Streptophyta, Magnoliopsida, Solanales, Solanaceae.